This 700-nucleotide ribosomal RNA is filed under the name uncultured bacterium. RNAcentral's name for it is "bacterial SSU rRNA". It matches the Rfam family "Bacterial small subunit ribosomal RNA", at positions 94 to 828 of the family's 1533-position model. The record is from RNAcentral.
AGUGGCGGACGGGUGAGUAACGCGUAAGAGUCUAACUUCAGGACGGGGACAACAGUGGGAAACGACUGCUAGUACCCGAUGUGCCGCGAGGUGAAACCUAAUUGGCCUGAAGAAGAGCUUGCGUCUGAUUAGCUAGUUGGUGGGGUAAGAGCCUACCAAGGCGACGAUCAGUAGCUGGUCUGAGAGGAUGAGCAGCCACACUGGGACUGAGACACGGCCCAGACUCCUACGGGAGGCAGCAGUGGGGAAUUUUCCGCAAUGGGCGAAAGCCUGACGGAGCAACGCCGCGUGAGGGAGGAAGGUCUUUGGAUUGUAAACCUCUUUUCUCAAGGAAGAAGUUCUGACGGUACUUGAGGAAUCAGCCUCGGCUAACUCCGUGCCAGCAGCCGCGGUAAUACGGGGGAGGCAAGCGUUAUCCGGAAUUAUUGGGCGUAAAGCGUCCGCAGGUGGUCAGCCAAGUCCGCCGUCAAAUCAGGUUGCUUAACGACCUAAAGGCGGUGGAAACUGGCAGACUAGAGAGCAGUAGGGGUAGCAGGAAUUCCCAGUGUAGCGGUGAAAUGCGUAGAGAUUGGGAAGAACAUCGGUGGCGAAAGCGUGCUACUGGGCUGUAUCUGACACUCAGGGACGAAAGCUAGGGGAGCGAAAGGGAUUAGAUACCCCUGUAGUCCUAGCCGUAAACGAUGGAUACUAGGCGUGGCUU